This 391-nucleotide unclassified non-coding RNA is filed under the name Athalia rosae (coleseed sawfly). Its description in RNAcentral is "misc RNA ENSAEAG00005002580.1". The record is from RNAcentral. Lineage: Eukaryota; Metazoa; Arthropoda; Insecta; Hymenoptera; Athaliidae.
AUUCAGCUGCGCCUGUGGCGUAAAUAUCCAAUAUCACAGUUGCAAGCAAUUUGUAAUCUACACCUAUGAGGGCUUCGCAUGUACGUACCACCUAUUACAGCGUGAGCAGAGGGCGAACAUGGUUGGUGUUGUUUUUAGUUGAUGGAAAGCAUGUAACCAAGCAGAGAACAUUUGCAGCCACAAUUACCACUUAGCCUGUGUCUAAUCUAGCAUAGCCAGUCGGUGAGUAUCGAAAUACAACAUAUUGCUCAAGACACAUCUCAACCCUCUCCAAAAGGUUAAAAAAUUUCGAUAAACAUUAUGCAGAGUUCUUGACGAACCAUAUUCUUUUAUUAUUACCGUCAUUUUUUCUUUAGCAUGACGAAUGAAUUUCUAAGCCCCAAAAGUUCUA